RNAcentral lists this ribosomal RNA (253 nucleotides) under uncultured bacterium. RNAcentral's name for it is "partial 16S ribosomal RNA". It matches the Rfam family "Bacterial small subunit ribosomal RNA", at positions 524 to 776 of the family's 1533-position model. The record is from RNAcentral.
UACGUAGGGUGCGAGCGUUAAUCGGAAUUACUGGGCGUAAAGCGUGCGCAGGCGGUUUUGUAAGCCAGAUGUGAAAUCCCCGGGCUUAACCUGGGAAUGGCAUUUGGGACUGCAAGGCUGGAGUUUGGCAGAGGAGACUGGAAUUCCUGGUGUAGCAGUGAAAUGCGUAGAUAUCAGGAGGAACACCGGUGGCGAAGGCGGGUCUCUGGGCUGAUACUGACGCUGAGGAGCGAAAGCGUGGGGAGCGAACAGG